CGCAAGCCUGACGGAGCAAGACCGCGUGCGGGAUGACGGCCUAAUGGUUGUAAACCGCUUUUCUCUGGGAAGAUGAUGACGGUACCAGAGGAAUCAGCCUCGGCUAACUCCGUGCCAGCAGCCGCGGUAAUACGGAGGAGGCAAGCGUUAUCCGGAAUUAUUGGGCGUAAAGCGUCCGUAGGUGGUUAUUCAAGUCUGCUGUCAAAGCGUGGGGCUUAACUCCAUAGAGGCAGUGGAAACCGGAUGACUUGAGUGCGGUAGGGGUCGAGGGAAUUCCCAGUGUAGCGGUGAAAUGCGUAGAGAUUGGGAAGAACACCGGUGGCGAAAGCGCUCUACUGGGUCGCACCUGACCCUCAGGGACGAAAGCUAAGGUAGCG
This 377-nucleotide ribosomal RNA is filed under the name uncultured cyanobacterium. Its description in RNAcentral is "bacterial SSU rRNA". It matches the Rfam family "Bacterial small subunit ribosomal RNA", at positions 376 to 770 of the family's 1533-position model. Lineage: Bacteria; Bacillati; Cyanobacteriota. The record is from RNAcentral.